Molecule: signal recognition particle RNA, 293 nt
Filed under: Saimiri boliviensis boliviensis (Bolivian squirrel monkey)
Lineage: Eukaryota; Metazoa; Chordata; Mammalia; Primates; Cebidae
Description: Metazoan signal recognition particle RNA (ENSSBOG00000004430.1)
Rfam family: Metazoan signal recognition particle RNA
About the family: The signal recognition particle (SRP) is a universally conserved ribonucleoprotein. It is involved in the co-translational targeting of proteins to membranes.
Source: RNAcentral
GCCGGGCGCGGUGGCGCGUGUCUGUAGUCCCAGCUAUUUGGGAGGCUGAGGCUGGAGAAUCCCUUGAGUUCAGGAGUUCUGGGCUGUAGUGCGCUAUACCGAUCGGGUGUCCGCACUAAGUUCGGCAUCAAUAUGGUGACCUCCCGGGGGACCACCAGGUUGCCUAAGGAGGGGUGAACCGGCCCAGGUCGGAAACGGAGCAGGUCAAAACUCCCGUGCUGAUCAGUAGUGGGAUCGCGCCUGUGAAUAGCCACUGCACUCCAGCCUGGGCAACAUAGCGAGACCCUGCCUCU